UCGGAUCAGGCUUCAUUCCUC
Molecule: microRNA, 21 nt
Filed under: Oryza sativa (Asian cultivated rice)
Lineage: Eukaryota; Viridiplantae; Streptophyta; Magnoliopsida; Poales; Poaceae
Also listed under: 2 other names
Description: osa-miR166i-3p
Gene: osa-miR166i-3p
Source: miRBase by way of RNAcentral